GGGCAGGCCCAGUCGCCGCCUAUCCAGGAGAACGGCAGGUCCCGAAGCCGAAAUCCCCUGGGCGGCUCCCCUUGAGGUUACCAGGACGGCUUCUCGAAGCCCCGACGGAGCCACCACACCCACGUGGGCUUUCGCGCAGUUUCUCGAAGGGUUGGAGCAGCCGUGUGGGUCGCCAGCCAAGUGGAAGCCAGUUUCGCAUCGGGGCUGCGGGAGAGAACAGCCGCCUCGAUCCCGCUCCGAAGAUCUGAGACCCUCCAAUCCCAGACAGCGCCUCGCGGGACUAUAGUCCGCGGCUUCUUUCCACACACGAAGGCCCGUUCGGCCCCUCUAGUCAGGUCCGCUGCGGCGGCCAGGCUCCCUGGAGAUGGUCGAGGGUUCCUCUCGGCCAGGCUGCCUGAGGACCGGCUCGCUUCCCGGAAUCCCCCCCCUCCCCGCCCUUCGUUGCUGCUGCCGGUCGGGCUGAGGGGCGGCUGGAGCUCUCUUGCUGGUCUGGGGGGGCGGGAAGGAGAGCACCGUCCCCGUGAUCAGAGCGCUGGAAGGACUUCGGGGCGGAGGCUAGCUGGCUGCAAUUCAAGGAGCUGAAGCAAGAAAGAGGCUCUGGCCUGGCCCUGAGCUGUGGAAGACUCCCCAUCCGCUUGGCUGCUUUGGAGAAGGCACCAAUCGAGAACAUGAGCAGAUCAGUGCAUAAAUUCACCUAAUUUAAAAUUCAAGAUUUGUUCUACCAAAACACUGGAAAAAUAUAAAGGCCAAAGUCUUUCUUUGAAUUGGUGGCAUUUGAAAGUGUGGAACCAGCACUGGAUGAAUAAUACAACAGCAAAAAGGGUUAAUUAAAGCUGCUUUAUUUAUAUUUAGCUUCCAUUUUUAGUAAUAUC
Ahaetulla prasina is the source of this 872-nucleotide long non-coding RNA. RefSeq lists it as uncharacterized. The transcript has 3 exons. The record is from RefSeq and is a predicted model, not a curated record. NCBI's taxonomy places the organism in Eukaryota, Metazoa, Chordata, Lepidosauria, Squamata, Colubridae.